UGAGGAAUAUUGGGCAAUGCCCGCAAGGGUGACCCAGCAACGCCGCGUGGAGGAUGAAUGUCGUAAGAUUGUAAACUCCUGUUAGAUGGGAAGAAUAGUACCGGUUGGACCGGUAUAUGACUGUACCCUCAGAGAAAGCCCCGGCUAACUACGUGCCAGCAGCCGCGGUAAUACGUAGGGGGCAAGCGUUGUCCGGAUUUACUGGGUGUAAAGGGCGCGCAGGCGGAAUGGAAAGUCAGUGGUGAAAUCCUACAGCUUAACUGUAGAACUGCCUUUGAUACUUUCAUUCUUGAGUUCGGGAGAGAGAGACGGAAUUCCAGGUGUAGUGGUGAAAUACGUAGAUAUCUGGAAGAACACCAGUUGCGAAGGCGGUCUCUUGGUCCGAUACUGACGCUGAGGCGCGAAAGCGUGGGGAGCAAACA
This 422-nucleotide ribosomal RNA is filed under the name uncultured bacterium. RNAcentral's name for it is "bacterial SSU rRNA". It matches the Rfam family "Bacterial small subunit ribosomal RNA", at positions 355 to 774 of the family's 1533-position model. The record is from RNAcentral.